GUGCACCAGGCGAGAAUCCUUCGCAAUGCAGGAACUGCGACGAGGGAACUCCAAGUGCCUACGCUCAGCGUAGGCUGUUCUCAAGCCUAGAAGCUUGAGGAGUAAGGGCUGGGUAAGACGGGUGCCAUCGUGUGGUAGCAGUCAAUAGAUUCGAUUUGUUACUGCAAGGCAUAAGCCGCCGCGGUAAUACCCGCAGCCCAAGUGGUGGCCG
RNAcentral lists this ribosomal RNA (211 nucleotides) under uncultured microorganism. RNAcentral describes it as "partial 16S ribosomal RNA". It matches the Rfam family "Archaeal small subunit ribosomal RNA", at positions 330 to 497 of the family's 1478-position model. The record is from RNAcentral.